GACGAACGUUGGCGGCGUGCUUAAUACAUGCAAGUCCACUGAAGCCGUGGUAGCAAUAUCGCUGUGGAGGUGGCGCACUGGUGAGUAACGCGUAGGUAAUCUGCCUUCAGGUCUGGCAUAACUCCGGGAAACCGGGGCUAAUAGCAGAUGAUGCAGCGGCUCGACAUCGAGACAGUUGUUAAAGCUAUGGCGCCUGAAGAUGAGCCUGCGUCUGAUUAGCUAGUUGGCGGGGUAACGGCCCACCAAGGCAACGAUCAGUAGCUGGUCUGAGAGGAUGAUCAGCCACACUGGAACUGAGACACGGUCCAGACUCCUACGGGAGGCAGCAGUAAGGAAUAUUGCUCAAUGGGAGAAAUCCUGAAGCAGCAACGCCGCGUGAGGGACGAAGGGCUUUUGCUUGUAAACCUCUGUAGUGAGAGAAAAAAAUCCCAAUCUUUGGGACAUGAUGGUAUCUCAAAAGUAAGCCCCGGCUAACUACGUG
This 481-nucleotide ribosomal RNA is filed under the name uncultured bacterium. Its description in RNAcentral is "partial 16S ribosomal RNA". It matches the Rfam family "Bacterial small subunit ribosomal RNA", at positions 28 to 507 of the family's 1533-position model. The record is from RNAcentral.